Gasterosteus aculeatus aculeatus (three-spined stickleback) is the source of this 1527-nucleotide long non-coding RNA. The record is from Ensembl. NCBI's taxonomy places the organism in Eukaryota, Metazoa, Chordata, Actinopteri, Perciformes, Gasterosteidae.
GUAUAAAAUGUUGACAUUUGACUAUGCCAUGUUUUUGUUCUGUUUUUGUUUAUUUGGUCAUGUAAGUGUUGCACAGUAUACAUGUCAUUCAUAAGUGGGAGUGUUAAGAGUGUAUGAAUGCAUGUACCUGUAACUGUUUCCUGAGUCGUGAUAUCAAGAGCACCAUUCCCAUAUAAGGGCAGUGUUCCCUCCCCUUUCUCAGUGUGUACCCGUCUCUCCCGUGAGCGGGCAGUUGAGCAUGUUGUGCUUGCAUUAAAGAAUGCCACGAGUCGGAUGGCUAAAGAGAUAAACGCCUGGACGUCCGUUCAUUCUCUGAAUAUCAUUGUUCCGCCGCGCAGGUAGGAGUAAGCCUACCUAUUAACAGAGAAGGCGCGCGAGGUGGUGGCGAGCGGCGUGGUGGCCCGCGGGGCGCAAGUGCCCGUUCUGUCGCUCGCCGUGCCGGCUGUCAGGGUGACGGACGGCGCAGAGAGCAGCAGAUGGCAGUGCAGGCCUGAAUACAGAGGAAUGGCAUCUGGACAACAGAUCACUCACUCAGAGACCUACUUGUCAGGCCAAGCCUAAUUUAUGGUGUUUCAUAGAUCCUGCUUAGAAUAUAAAUAGUAAUGUAAUAUAUAUAUAUUGACUAAGAAGGGAUCAUUUCUUGUGGAAUGUGUCUCCCACCUAAACAUCAGCAGUUUGAGUACAUUUUUAACCGUUACAACAGCUUUAAUACUGCACUUCACCGUCUUCAUUUUCACACCUGUGUUGGUCUCAAUAAUGGGAACAAUGAAAUAAUCAAGUUAGACGUUAUUUAGUUAAAAUGACAAAACAGAGAAAGUGAAUUGAGGAGAAACAUUAGAGUAAUAAUCUCAAAGGUUUUCAUUGAAAUAAAUCUCUGUUGAAUAACCAUCCAUUACUGAAUGAGCUAACAUAAUGGGCAUUGAGCCUAGUGCUCACUGAUGAAACCCCAUGCAUUUACAGUAUUAUGAAUUUGGUGGCAACAUUCCCAACACUGUUCCCAUCUCUGGGAAUUGAGAUCCCGUCUUGCAAUUACUGCUUAUUGCCGUAUGUGCCGCCAAAGAGACGGAAACAGAGAUCUUUGAGAUUGUGACUCUAAGAAAAGGAAAUGAAUGCACAGAUGCACGAUGCGCAGAUGUGGUUAUCACAGUUAUUAGAAGAUUUGGAGGAAAUUGAGUUAGUAAAAGACAAGUAAGUAGGCUAUACAUCCACCAUUCUAUUUACAUGUGUUAGUUUUAUGGGAUUGGCCUGCUUCCAUCUGUCUUUAAUGGAUGUACGUUUUGAGAAAAAAUAAAAGCACGGCCUUUGAUCAUCAAAUGAUCAUAUCAACAUGUUUAUGUUGCAUUAUUCAUGUUUUUAUUGCCACUUUAAUUUUGUAUUUGUAUUUAGUUGUGCAGUCAGUCUUGACAAGCUUACAAUUUGGGUGGAACACUAAUUCAGCAAGAUCAGUUAAAUUAACUUGCGCCAUGUCUACCAUUUAUAUAAACAUUUUCUUUUUACGCUUCUAGAGAAUGUUUAUUGCACAUUGCC